RNAcentral lists this microRNA precursor (98 nucleotides) under Petromyzon marinus (sea lamprey). RNAcentral describes it as "microRNA pma-mir-4578 precursor". Lineage: Eukaryota; Metazoa; Chordata; Hyperoartia; Petromyzontiformes; Petromyzontidae. The record is from miRBase by way of RNAcentral.
UGGCGGCGGUGGCGCCUGUUGAGCGACGCUCGCUCGACGGCCGCGUGAGUUGUUUUGUUUUGCGGUUGCCCUCGCACGACGGACGUUUCCGCUGCGCU